Molecule: ribosomal RNA, 598 nt
Filed under: Actinomycetes bacterium
Lineage: Bacteria; Bacillati; Actinomycetota; Actinomycetes
Description: bacterial SSU rRNA
Rfam family: Bacterial small subunit ribosomal RNA
Source: RNAcentral
GCCCUUCCUUCGGGAAGGUGCCCUAGCGGCGAACGGGUGAGUAACACGUGGGCAACCUGCCCUCAGCUCUGGGAUAAGCCCGGGAAACCGGGUCUAAUACCGGAUAUGACUCCGACAGGCAUCUUGCGGAGUGGAAAGAUUCAUCGGCUGAGGAUGGGCCCGCGGCCUAUCAGCUUGUUGGUGGGGUAACGGCCUACCAAGGCGACGACGGGUAGCCGGCCUGAGAGGGCGACCGGCCACACUGGGACUGAGACACGGCCCAGACUCCUACGGGAGGCAGCAGUGGGGAAUCUUGCACAAUGGGCGAAAGCCUGAUGCAGCGACGCCGCGUGAGGGAUGACGGCCUUCGGGUUGUAAACCUCUUUCAGCAGGGACGAAGCGAAAGUGACGGUACCUGCAGAAGAGGACCGGCCAACUACGUGCCAGCAGCCGCGGUAAUACGUAGGGUCCAAGCGUUGUCCGGAAUUAUUGGGCGUAAAGAGCUCGUAGGCGGCCUGUCGCGUCGGCUGUGAAAACCUGGGGCUCAACCCCGGGCCUGCAGCCGAUACGGGCAGGCUAGAAUUCGGUAGGGGAGACUGGAACUCCUGGUGUAGCGGUG